UACGGAGGGUGCAAGCGUUAUCCGGAUUCACUGGGCUUAAAGGGUGCGUAGGUGGUCAGGUAAGUCAGUGGUGAAAUCUCCGGGCUUAACCCGGAAACUGCCAUUGAUACUAUUUGUCUUGAAUACCGUGGAGGUCAGCGGAAUAUGUCAUGUAGCGGUGAAAUGCUUAGAUAUGACAUAGAACACCAAUUGCGAAGGCAGCUGGCUACACGAAUAUUGACGCUGAGGCACGAAAGCGUGGGGAUCAAACAGG
Molecule: ribosomal RNA, 253 nt
Filed under: uncultured bacterium
Lineage: Bacteria
Description: partial 16S ribosomal RNA
Rfam family: Bacterial small subunit ribosomal RNA
Source: RNAcentral